This 166-nucleotide unclassified non-coding RNA is filed under the name soil metagenome. Its description in RNAcentral is "partial contains 5.8S ribosomal RNA, internal transcribed spacer 2, and large subunit ribosomal RNA". The record is from RNAcentral.
AACAAGGCGUACCUGCGGACCUGCGGAAGGAUCAUUAAUAAAUGUUACUUCGGUAACUUAAUUAAUCCCUAACACCUGUGCAUCUUGUCGCUCCGGCGUCAUUUUAUAAACAUCAGUGUAAUGAAUGUAAAGUAUUAUAACAAAUACAACUUUUAGCAAUGGAUCU